Molecule: long non-coding RNA, 971 nt
Organism: Pogoniulus pusillus (Red-fronted tinkerbird)
Lineage: Eukaryota; Metazoa; Chordata; Aves; Piciformes; Lybiidae
Exons: 2
Source: RefSeq, a predicted model, not a curated record
GGAGCCUUUCAAGGCCUAUCUGGAUGUGUUCCUGUGUGCCCUGAGCUAGAUUGUAUAGCCCUGCUCUGGCAGGGGGGUUGGAUUUGAUGAUCUCUUUGGGUGCCUUCCAACCCCUAACAUCCUGUGAUCCACAGCUCUCCUGCUGCAGCAGAUCACCUCUCCUUACCCUUCCACACUGCUCAUGCCUGCCCAAAUCACGUUUACUUUGGGACAGGCCCCUCAGAUAGUGUUAAGCACAGCAGGCUUCUGCCUGGCUGCUAAGUCACCCUCAGACUCUAAAAGCUUUGGAACUUGCUUUCUGUCUUGGGUUCUCACCAACCUCAUGGGGAACUCCUGGAUUCUUGCAGUCUCCCCUAAGGACCUGCCUUGAUGCUGCCAUAUUUGAGUCCUUGACCCAAAUGCUCUCUAGCUAUGCUUGGUCAAUAGGAGAAGAAAUCUGAGUCACAAAGUAGGAGUCUUCUCCUACCCUUGAGCAGUGCUAACUUUCAACAGCAAAUCCCCUGAAACAGCAGAGUUUUAUACCUUAAAGGUCUGCAGCAGGACUUUGCCAUCACUGAUGUGCCAAAACACAACUUUUUUGCUGAAUCUGUGGGCAGCUUUGCAGGGAAGAUGACAGAAACCAUCACCAGCUGAACUCCUAGCAGAUGGGAGCAGAGGCCCAGAGGGGCUAAUCCUGAAAUGCAUUUAGAAGAUGUCAUGGGAAAUUAGACCCCACAUGACUUUGAGAACCUGCUGGGGACAGAAGUGACUGUCAGAGAUCACACAGGCAGAAGAGAGAACUGGAAGACUCCCCAGGUUCAGGCAGCAGCCUUCAUUCUUUCUGAAGCACGCAGCUGGAGACAGUGGCCACUGCUUUGUGCCCAGCCUGGUUUCAGUGAGGCUCAGCUUACAGGUGGCAGCAGCUCUCACUUUACUAUUCUUUUAAGCAAACCCACUAAUAAUAAAACUUAGCUUCUCUUGCAUGGCAAGAA